UUGAAUGUAUUGAGGAGAACAGCAAACAAUUAGCUAAUACGCCCAGAGAGCUGCCGGCAAUGGAAAGGCAGUCGUCCCUUAGUUAGUUGCAGAUCAUCUCCGAAUGCUAUCCUGAAUUGAGUAAGGGUGGCCGGUCCAUGGACGUUAACCAUGCUAAGAGAGAAUUUAAACAAUUCUAAAAUUGGGUGGUACCACGAUAACUUCGUCCCUGGG
RNAcentral lists this non-coding RNA (213 nucleotides) under Lactiplantibacillus plantarum. RNAcentral's name for it is "Lactobacillus plantarum T-box". It matches the Rfam family "T-box leader". From Rfam's summary of the family: Uncharged tRNA acts as the effector for transcription antitermination of genes in the T-box leader family. T-boxes are found upstream of many aminoacyl-tRNA synthetase genes and some amino acid biosynthetic genes usually in Gram-positive bacteria. Lineage: Bacteria; Bacillati; Bacillota; Bacilli; Lactobacillales; Lactobacillaceae. The record is from RNAcentral.